UGUGAUCAAUGAAGAUUUAUUGACCUUCAAUUACAUGGAAACUGAUAUGUUGAAGCUCAAAACUACAGUUGCAUUGAAAUCCUGGUUCUAGAUAGCAAAUUUUAUAAUAUUCGGUUACUUUGAGCAAAGGAAAACUUGCUUAUUGCACCAAAAGGUUCCAAGCUCACAGUUCAAAUUGUAGAGUCAACUGUACUUUUUUUCUCCAAUACCUGUCAUUUGAGAGUUACCAGACUCGCUUGCAGAUUGUGGAGUUGUGGUAGAGGAGCUUUGGUAAUUGUGUUGUAGGUGGAAAGUUCGACUUCGCCAUUCUUAAGCGGAGUUUGGUAUCUUUCUUCAACAUUGAGAAACAGCUGUUUCUGACAAUAUACUGGCAAGGACGAGCUGCCAAGGUACUCCUCACCUGGCUAACCAGAGAUAGGUCAAAGAGGAAAUUCGGUCCAGUCUUAUUUGCAUUGCCUAGAGACAAUGAAGAAGAACCGAUGGUUCAAGAACAUGAAGAACAUCUUGGUGCUUCGAUUUCGUCAGAUAAUGGAGCGUAGGUGGUUGGAGAAGCCAAACUUGAGGAAGAGUUUUGGGUGAUUUUACAGUAAUUUGAAAUUCUGCUUUGAAUUUGUUUUUUCGAAUUAGAUUUUGAAGGUGGGUUUAAUAUGAGUUAUUUUCUGAGUAGUCAUCAGCAUGAUUGAAAGCAGAAGGACUUUAUGAAAUUGCAUCACACGACUAGUUCGUAAAGGAAUACGUCGAGCAGGAACUUCGGAUGCCUGUGAAUGUGUUUAGCACCUUCAAAAAAGAGGAUCACAGAAUUAUGGCAUAAUCUCGAACGUAACUGUAACCGAAUUGGCACGUUGACAAGGUGUUGGAAGCAGCAUUCUUAAGUUUGCAAUUGAAACUGCAAAAGAAGAUGGUAUUCUUAAUGUCGGUCGGGAUAACAAAACAAGAACUGGCACUGUACAGAAAGAUGGGGUUCGAGGUAAUAAUACUUUGAUCUGUUUUUUAUUCAGUUUCUGAUGGUUAGUUACCUUUGAUCAAUAACAAUCAGCUGGUCCUGACAUAUAAUUGAUAAUUCUGUAUCCUAGAUUAACAUUCGAUGUUUGAUCCAGAAAUUAGUAUCUUUGUU
Long non-coding RNA from Papaver somniferum (opium poppy), 1114 nucleotides. RefSeq lists it as uncharacterized. The transcript is spliced from 5 exons. The record is from RefSeq and is a predicted model, not a curated record. NCBI's taxonomy places the organism in Eukaryota, Viridiplantae, Streptophyta, Magnoliopsida, Ranunculales, Papaveraceae.